Molecule: ribosomal RNA, 79 nt
Filed under: Borreliella californiensis
Lineage: Bacteria; Pseudomonadati; Spirochaetota; Spirochaetia; Spirochaetales; Borreliaceae
Description: partial 23S ribosomal RNA
Rfam family: Bacterial large subunit ribosomal RNA
Source: RNAcentral
UACCAGGUUGAUAGGUUAGAAGUGUAAGUAUAGUAAUAUAUUAAGCUGACUAAUACUAAUUACCCGUAUCUUUGGCCAU